GCCAAUCAGCGGAAGCCGCCGGGGCCGCCUAGAGAAGAGGCUGUGCUUCGGCGCUCCGGCUCCUCAGAGAGCCUCGGCUAGCUGGGAUUCUGUCCCUGACCGUCUUCACAGUCCAGGUGAUCUUGACUACUGCUUUACAGAGAAUUGGAUCUGAGGUGUGGAAACAGGAAGAGAACUAGAACUGGAAGUAAAGCAUUGAAGAUGUGACUGAAUUGCUGCAAUCUCAUGAUCAAAUUUGAAUGGAUGAGGAGUUGCUUUUUAGGGAUGAGCAAAGAAAGUGGUUUCUCGAGAUGGAAUCUACUGGUGAAGUUGCUGUGAACAUUGUUAAAAUGCCAAUAAAGGAUUUAGGAAUUACAGAAACCUGGUUGAUAAAGCAGUGCCAGGGUGUGAGAGAGUUGACUUCAAUUUUGAAAUAAGUUCCACUGGCUGGGUGUGGUGGCUCACACCUGCAAUCCCAGUACUUUAGGAGGCCGAGACUGGUAGAUCAUUUGAGGUCAGGAGUUCAAGACCAGCCUUGCCAACAUGGUGAAACCCCACCUCUACCAAAUUAGCCAGGUGUGGUGCACACCUGUAGUCCCAGCUACUUGGGAAGCUGAGGCAGGAGAAUCUCUUGAACCAGGGAGGAGGAGGUUGCAGUAAGCCGAGAUGGCGCCCCUGCACUCCAGCCUGGGUGACAGAGUGAGACCUUGCGUUUAAAAAAAAAAAAAAAGGAAAAGGAAAAAAAAGUUCUACUGUGGGUAAAAUGCUAUCAUGCUAUCAAACAGCAUCACAUGCUACAGAGAAGUCUUGUGAAAGGAUGUCAGUGUGGCAAACUUCAUUGUCUUUUAAGAAAUUGCCACAGCUAUCGUAAUCUUCAACCACCACCACCCUGAUGAGUCAGUAGCCAUCGUUAACGUUGGCGUAAGACCCUCCACCAGCAAAAAGAUUGUUAGCAUUUUUUUAGCAGUGAUGUAUUUAUCAAUUAUACAUAAUGCUAUUGUACACUUCUUAAUAGACUAUGGUAUAGUGUAACCAUAAUUUAUGCACUGGGAAACCAACAAAUUCAUGAGAUUCGCUUUAUUGUAGUGCUCUGGAAUUGAGCCUGCCGUGUUUCUGAGGUAUACCUGUGUAUUUAGUAUGUUCCUUGUAUAUAAAACCCCAUUUUAUAGGGUAGGAAACUAAGGCUUAGAGUUUGAGCAAUUUUCCCAUAGAUAACACCAAUAAAUUGAGGGCUGCAGAGACCACUUAAGUGGUUCUCUUAACAGUAGUCUAGACAUGACGUAAUGAGAUUUGGCUUAGGAGUGACAAUGGUAAGGAAGUUAAAGGAUUCAGGAACCAAAUACCAGUUAUUGAGAAGAAAGAAUGGCCUCAAAACAUCACUUCUCAAGGAAGCCUUGAUACCCUCACCCUUACUACACUGUAUCCUCCAUUUGAAUGUUGUCAAGAGCUCUUCUCACAAUUGUAAAUAAUAAUUGUGUAAUUUUGUUUUUUUUUUCCUACUUUAGGUUGCUCCUUGAGGGCAGGACAGUUCUUAUGGCUUUAUCCGUUGCGUAAGCACAGAGAGGUCUGCGAGGUCAAAACUAUUGUCAUGAUAGCAAGAUGCCUGUCUUUUUCAUUUAUUCUCACGGUGUGCAGAGGCUACAUGAUGUGUGAUGACAUCCUCAUUGAUGUUAAUGAAUGGUGCUAUACUUGAAUUUUCUAAGGUGUCAUUAGGCUGACUGCAACCUCUGUCUCCUGGGUUCAAGCAAUUCUCCUGCCUCAGCCUCCUGCAUAACUGGGACUACAGGGAAGCACCAUUUUCCACAAAACUCUCAAGAAGGACUUGUUGCAACUGGAAAAGCAAUUAAAUGUGAAUCGUGAUCCAGGAGAAAGUA
Molecule: long non-coding RNA, 1853 nt
Filed under: Homo sapiens (human)
Lineage: Eukaryota; Metazoa; Chordata; Mammalia; Primates; Hominidae
Description: LHRI_LNC768.25
Source: RNAcentral